AUUGAACGCUGGCGGCAUGCCUUACACAUGCAAGUCGAACGGCAGCACGGGAGCAAUCCUGGUGGCGAGUGGCGAACGGGUGAGUAAAGUAUCGGAACGUGCCCAGUCGUGGGGGAUAACGUAGCGAAAGUUACGCUAAUACCGCAUACGAUCUAUGGAUGAAAGCGGGGGAUCGCAAGACCUCGCGCGAUUGGAGCGGCCGAUAUCAGAUUAGGUAGUUGGUGGGGUAAAGGCUCACCAAGCCGACGAUCUGUAGCUGGUCUGGGAGGACGACCCGCCACACUGGGACUGAGACACGGCCCAGACUCCUACGGGAGGCAGCAGUGGGGAAUUUUGGACAAUGGGCGAAAGCCUGAUCCAGCCAUGCCGCGUGCAGGAUGAAGGCCUUCGGGUUGUAAACUGCUUUUGUACGGAACGAAAAGGUUUGGCCUAAUAAGCUGAGCUCAUGACGGUACCGUAAGAAUAAGCACCGGCUAACUACGUGCCGGCCGCCGCGGUAA
RNAcentral lists this ribosomal RNA (500 nucleotides) under uncultured bacterium. RNAcentral's name for it is "partial 16S ribosomal RNA". It matches the Rfam family "Bacterial small subunit ribosomal RNA", at positions 30 to 523 of the family's 1533-position model. The record is from RNAcentral.